GUUAAUCCGGUUUUAUUGAAGUAUUAAAUUAGUGUAAUUUGUGUUGCAGAGAUGAUUGUUGCCGCUUACUUGUUGGUUGCCGUGGGCGGUAAAGCUUUCCCUACUGCCGAUGAUGUCAAAAAAAAUUCUUGGAUCAGGGAUAGCCCAAUACAGUUUGUCAACCUUACGGUGUUGGAUUACCAAUGUUGCUGCAUCUAUAGCUUGGAAAUUUCCCAUAAUUCUCUGUUUAUCUCUCCUCCUGCUUCAUAGAGUUUCAUGGUCAUGGAGGUGUAUGUGUCAGGCCGCUCAACCUUUUUUACCUCAUGAUCACAGCACAGGCUAGGGAAAGAUUAAAGGUCAAGGCUUGAGUUACAAAGAGAUUCAAAUUAGAUGAUUUUUUGCUUUCAGAAAUAAGAAGAAAAAAAUGAGGCCAAGCUUUUGUGGAAACUUUAAUUUUGAUGCACGUUCUUCUGAUCUGGAGCGCCUUUUCAGAUGAUAUGGCAAAGUUGAUAGAGUGGAUAGGAAGUUUGGUAACAGAUAAGAUGAUGCAGCAAGUUGAACAUAUCUUCCCACAUAACACUCCAAAAACUAUGCAUACAUAUCUUUGAGUGGUUGUAAUUGGUACGUACACUUAUGUAUGAUGAUGUAUCUCUAGCGAGAAAGGUAUGUCUUACUGCUUAUUUUCUAUUGUCAUCAGAUUAUGAUCCAACUGAGACUGUUGGCAAAAGUAACAUCCAUCAUCUCUGAUGAUAAGUCCAUUUUUCCUUUGAAGGAACAUCCUUUGAUGACAAAGGAGGUGAUUAUAUUUAGUUUAUCAUGUCACAUUUGUCCUGAUGUACUUACCUGUCUUCUUUUAGUUUUGAUUCUUUGCAAGGUCUUAACCCUAUGUGAAGACCUUCACCAUGGGAAGCAAGAGUUUAGGCAGCUUUUGUAAGUUCUUUUCUGCUAUUUUAAAGCAAAGAGAAAUGCACAUGAAGAUUAAAAUUUCCACCAGGUGUUUGCAGAUAGAGUGCUCUCAGCAAAAAUUGACAUUGGGUUUGGAUAUUAUGACAAUUCAUGAAAGGAUAUCAUCAACCACAAGUCCCCAAGCAUACCUAUAUUCAAGAAGAUGUAUAUUUCAAGUAAUGGUCGUGUAAUCAAGAAAUCAAUGAAGUGGGAACUUAGUGUGUGGUCUUGUCUUGUUUCUUUUGUAUUAUAUGUAAUUUUUUUUUAAAUCUACAAGAAUGGAUGUAAUACAUGGUUAAUUGCUAUGAGAUGCUUACUUGAUACAAUUGAGAAAUGA
This is a long non-coding RNA of Spinacia oleracea (spinach), 1261 nucleotides long. RefSeq lists it as uncharacterized. The record is from RefSeq and is a predicted model, not a curated record. Lineage: Eukaryota; Viridiplantae; Streptophyta; Magnoliopsida; Caryophyllales; Amaranthaceae. The transcript is spliced from 7 exons.